This 468-nucleotide ribosomal RNA is filed under the name uncultured bacterium. Its description in RNAcentral is "bacterial SSU rRNA". It matches the Rfam family "Bacterial small subunit ribosomal RNA", at positions 331 to 794 of the family's 1533-position model. The record is from RNAcentral.
CCAGACUCCUACGGGAGGCAGCAGUGAGGAAUAUUGGUCAAUGGGCGAGAGCCUGAACCAGCCAAGUCGCGUGAGGGAAGACGGUCCUAUGGAUUGUAAACCUCUUUUGUCGGGGAGCAAAAAGGCCUCGUGAGGCCACAAGUGAGAGUACCCGAAGAAAAAGCAUCGGCUAACUCCGUGCCAGCAGCCGCGGUAAUACGUAGGUGGCAAGCGUUAUCCGGAUUUACUGGGUGUAAAGGGCGUGUAGGCGGGAAAGCAAGUCAGAUGUGAAAACCAUGGGCUCAACCUGUGGCCUGCAUUUGAAACUGUUUUUCUUGAGUACUGGAGAGGCAGACGGAAUUCCUAGUGUAGCGGUGAAAUGCGUAGAUAUUAGGAGGAACACCAGUGGCGAAGGCGGUCUGCUGGACAGCAACUGACGCUGAGGCGCGAAAGCGUGGGGAGCAAACAGGAUUAGAUACCCGGGUAAGA